RNAcentral lists this ribosomal RNA (429 nucleotides) under Gemmatimonadota bacterium. RNAcentral describes it as "Gemmatimonadetes bacterium partial 16S ribosomal RNA". It matches the Rfam family "Bacterial small subunit ribosomal RNA", at positions 355 to 776 of the family's 1533-position model. The record is from RNAcentral. Lineage: Bacteria; Pseudomonadati; Gemmatimonadota.
UAGGGAAUCUUCGGCAAUGGACGAAAGUCUGACCGAGCAACGCCGCGUGAGUGAAGAAGGUUUUCGGAUCGUAAAACUCUGUUGUUAGAGAAGAACAAGGACGUUAGUAACUGAACGUCCCCUGACGGUAUCUAACCAGAAAGCCACGGCUAACUACGUGCCAGCAGCCGCGGUAAUACGUAGGUGGCAAGCGUUGUCCGGUUUUAUUGGGCGUAAAGCGAGCGCAGGCGGUUUCUUAAGUCUGAUGUGAAAGCCCCCGGCUCAACCGGGGAGGGUCAUUGGAAACUGGGAGACUUGAGUGCAGAAGAGGAGAGUGGAAUUCCAUGUGUAGCGGUGAAAUGCGUAGAUAUAUGGAGGAACACCAGUGGCGAAGGCGGCUCUCUGGUCUGUAACUGACGCUGGGGCUCGAAAGCGUGGGGAGCAAACAGG